RNAcentral lists this long non-coding RNA (1218 nucleotides) under Calidris pugnax (ruff). RNAcentral's name for it is "lncRNA (ENSCPUG00000015846.1)". Lineage: Eukaryota; Metazoa; Chordata; Aves; Charadriiformes; Scolopacidae. The record is from RNAcentral.
CCCGGUAACCGCCGCUCACCCGCCGCGGGCUCGUCCCGCGCCUCUGCCUCAGCGCCCGGUCACGGGGACGGCGGCCAAUCAGAGACGCCGGGCGCCGCCGGGUGACGUAAGAGGCGCGCCGCAGCCAAUGGGGGAGGCGCUCCCCCUGCCUCCUCGGCGCCGGCGACCAAUGAGCGCGCGGUCACGCGGCGACGGGGCGGGGCGAGACCGCUUGAGCGCGCGAGGAAUUCUGGGAACGGCGGCGCCGGGCGUACGGAGGCCGCCAUCUUGGCGCAGGGCGCCGCCAUCUUGGAACCCGCAGAGCGCCGCCAUCUUGGAGCCCACGGGCGCUGCCAUCUUGGGGCCUACGGGGACUUUAACGUUCUUCUCGGCGUUUAUUGGCCAGUGACGUCAUCAAAACGACGGUGACAUCAUCAGCGACGGGCGGGAGGCCCCGCCCCUUUAUUAAAGCAUCGUUAAACCCCCCCAACCCGGGGUCAAAAAGGCAACGGUCACAGUGCAGAGGUCACAGUGCAGAGAUCCCUGAAGGGGGGGGGAAGGGGGGAGCGGGGUCAAAGUGCAAAGGUCACACCCACGGCCAGGGGUCAGGGGUCACAGGGGGAGCCCUGAGGUGAAAGGUCAAAGGUCAAAAGUGCUGAGCGGUGUGCAAAGGUCCCAGGAGGCCCCGGGGGGGGUUAAAGGUCAAGGGUCAGCACCGAAGGGCGGGGGUGUCCAGGCGAGGUCAGAGGUCACCAGGAGGGGUCAGAGGUCAAAGGUCACAGCCGGGGUCAAGCAGAGGUCAGAGGUCAGCAGCAGAGAGUGAGCUCGGGUCAAAGGCCACCGCCAGGGUCAGAGUUCAAAGGUCACCGGCAGAGGUCAGAGGUCACUGGUAGAGGUCAAAGGUCACUCGGAAAGGUGAAAGGUCAACCUCAGAGGUCAGAGGUCGCCGAUGGAGGUCCGAGGUCACCAACAGAGGUCAGGCAGAGGUCAAAGGUCGCCCACAGGGGUCAAAGGUCACCAAAGGAGGUCAAAGGUCACCCACAGGGGUCAGAGGUCGCCGACAGAGGUCACGCCCAGGUCAAAGGCCACAGCAGAGGUCAGAGGUCACCGGUAGAGGUCAAAGGUCACUCGGAGAGGUCAGAGGUCACCCUUAGAGGUCAAAGGUCACCAACAGAGAUCAAAGGUCACCAAAGUAGGUCAAAGGUCACCCACAGAGGUCAGAGGUCAAAGGUCAGGCCA